ACGCUCGACACCUACGGAGGCAGCAGUGGGGAAUAUUGCACAAUGGGGGGAACCCUGAUGCAGCGACGCCGCGUGAGGGAAGAAGGUUUUCGGAUUGUAAACCUCUGUCCUUGGUGACGAUAAUGACGGUAGCCAAGGAGGAAGCCACGGCUAACUACGUGUCAGCAGCCGCGGUAAUCUGAGCGGGCUGGCAAGGC
RNAcentral lists this ribosomal RNA (197 nucleotides) under uncultured bacterium. RNAcentral's name for it is "partial 16S ribosomal RNA". It matches the Rfam family "Bacterial small subunit ribosomal RNA", at positions 328 to 539 of the family's 1533-position model. The record is from RNAcentral.